GGCCAAAGUAGGUGGUUUCUGGAGAGGCAAGUAGCCUUGUGGGUUACAGCGUUGGGGCGGUAAACGACAUCAAAUCCCCGGGCUGACAAGAUACCUUGUAACUGGAGAUUCUUUCAAAAUGAUUUCCUACAGUUCCCAUGUCGGGCUCUGCAAGGUUAGGUGACCAGGGCCAUCUGGGACUGCCUCCUGGAGGAAUUCAGGUGUGUGAAGGCUACCAGUGUCCUGCAUAACUUCAUGAGGUUGGACAUGAGGACCAGGAGGGGAUCUGCAGCUCACCGCCGUGUGCCAGAGGAGAAGUCUGCUGCUCUGCAGGAAGUUUCCAGGAUGGGGUCCAACAACGCAGCAAAGGGAGGCUAUCCAGGAGAUCUUCAGCUUCUACUUCUUUGAAGAGGGUGCUGUUCCCUGGCAACAUCAGACACUACACACAACCAAAGACUCUUCUAUUUAUUUUUUUGGACUUAAAGCUCAAAGUUUGUGGACCACAAAUGGAUAGAAGAAGAAUAUUAAUAUAACUCUGUUGCACUUGACUAUGUUCUUGCCUAUUAGUUGAACUGUACUGUAUUAUACACUUUCCCUGCAAUUCUCUGAAUAAAAAUGUCAAUUUCAAGGUGACGCAA
This is a long non-coding RNA of Oncorhynchus kisutch (coho salmon), 617 nucleotides long. RefSeq lists it as uncharacterized. NCBI's taxonomy places the organism in Eukaryota, Metazoa, Chordata, Actinopteri, Salmoniformes, Salmonidae. The transcript is spliced from 2 exons. The record is from RefSeq and is a predicted model, not a curated record.